This 1501-nucleotide long non-coding RNA is filed under the name Salmo salar (Atlantic salmon). RNAcentral's name for it is "lncRNA (ENSSSAG00000104316.1)". The record is from RNAcentral. Lineage: Eukaryota; Metazoa; Chordata; Actinopteri; Salmoniformes; Salmonidae.
AGGGAUAGGAGGAGGAGAUGAAUGGAGGGGAGAGAGAAGAAUGAGCAGCAUGGAGUGAUACUCAACAAGGGUAACAGGGUAACAGAGAAGGAGAAAGUGGAGAGGAGAGGAUGGAGGUUGGAGAAGAAGAGGGUGGAGGUUGGAGGAGGAGAGGGUGGAGGUUGGAGGAGGAGAGGAUGGAGGUUGGAGGGGGAACGAGUUAAGGUUGGAGGAGGAGAGGAUGGAGGUAGGAGGAGGAGAGGAUGGAGGUAGGAGGAGGAGAGGAUGGAGGUUGGAGGGAGAGCGAGUUAAGGUUGGAGGAGGAGAGGAUGGGGUAGGAGGAGGAGAGGAUGGAGGUUGGAGGAGGAGAGGAUGGAGGUUGGAGGAGGAGAGGAUUAAGGUAGGAGGAGGAGAGGAUGGAGGUAGGAGGGAGAGCGAGUUAAGGUUGGAGGAGGAGAGGAUGGAGGUUGGAGGAGGAGAGGAUGGAAGUUGGAGGAGGAGAGGAUGGAGGUUGGAGGGAGAGCGAGUUAAGGUUGGAGGAGGAAAGGAUGGAGGUUGGAGGAGGAGAGGAUGGAAGUUGGAGGAGGAGAGGAUGGAGGUUGGAGGAGGAGAGGAUGGAGGUUGGAGGAGGAGAGGAUGGAGGUUGGAGGGAGAGCGAGUUAAGGUUGGAGGAGGAGAGGAUGGAGGUUGGAGGAGGAGAGGAUGGAAGUUGGAGGAGGAGAGGAUGGAGGUUGGAGGAGGAGAGGGUGGAGGUUGGAGGAGGAGAGGAUGGAGGUUGGAGGAGGAGAGGUUGGCGGGAGGAGGAGGAGAGGAUGGAGGUUGGAGGAGGAGAGGAUGGAGGUUGGAGGUUGGAGGAGGAGAGGAUGGAGGUUGGAGGAGGAGAGGAUGGAGGUUGGAGGAGGAGAGGAUGGAGGUUGGAGGGAGAGCGAGUUAAGGUUGGAGGAGGAGAGGAUGGCGGUAGGAGGAGGAGAGGAUGGAGGUUGGAGGAGGAGAGGAUGGAGGUUGGAGGAGGAGAGGAUGGAGGUUGGAGGAGGAGAGGAUGGAGGUUGGAGGGAGAGCGAGUUAAGGAACUCUUAUAAAAAAGGGAAGAAGGGGUCACAGGGAUGUUAUCUGACUUCAUGAAGGAAAUCCUCCCUGGGCACUCCAGAAAAGAGGAGAUUGCUCUUAUUGGUAGAAAGUAGACCCCCUCCACACAAGCACCAUACAACCACAGCCAGCCAGCCAUCCAGCCAGUUAGCCAGCCAACCAGCCAGUCAGUCAACCAGCCAGUCAGCCAGCCAUCCAUCCAGCCAGUUAGCCAGCCAACCAGCCAGUCAGUCAACCAGCCAGUCAGCCAUCCAGCCAGUCAGCCAGCCAGCCAGCCAUCCAGCCAGCCAUCCAUCCAUCCAGCCAGUCAGCCAGCCAACCAGCCAGUCAGCCAACCAGCCAGUUAGCCAUCCAGCCAGCCAGCCAUCCAGCCAGUCAGCCAGCCAGUCAGCCAGCCAGCCAACCAGCCAGUCAGCCAACCAGCCAGCCAGCCAGC